GGUGGGCCCGAUCUCACGGCUACAUACACCUGCGAACGAAAUUACUCCUUACGAAAUACACCUUUAAAGGAUACAGUCGCUUAAAUCGCCAUUGAGAACAGUUCUCCGGAAUAUUUUCGAGUGCACAGACAUGAAUAUGAAAAAUAUCCAGCUUUUUACUUCAACCUUCGCAGGUUUUUGUGAAUGACAUGGUCUGUGAGGAGAGCUGGGAAAUCGCAUAAUCGGAUCCCACCGACCCGGAUUUCGCUCCUCUUAUAGUUUCAAUGCUCCACAUAUUCGGAACUCUCAAGUGGGCACGUUUGAUAAAUGUUUAUCAAUUUA
Molecule: long non-coding RNA, 321 nt
Organism: Danaus plexippus (monarch butterfly)
Lineage: Eukaryota; Metazoa; Arthropoda; Insecta; Lepidoptera; Nymphalidae
Exons: 2
Source: RefSeq, a predicted model, not a curated record